GAAAGGGAGCAUAGCGGUCAGUGAGCACCUUGGGUCAGCACCUUGAGCCAUUCAGGAAACACAAGUCAGAGUGACAAGAUCCUAUGUCGUGUCCAGGUGUCCAGUGAGACAGCUCACAUGGGGAAGACUGGCAGCACCAGGUGUGGCUAAGCAUGGGGCAGCUACAAAUCCUGCGAAUUGCCAGUGUUAGUGGGGAGUGGUGCAGCCAUUUGGAGAAUGGCCCGGGAGUUUCACAUAAGGGAAACGUUUACCACAUGACUCAGCAAUUCCACGCCUUGGCAGAUUUACUCAAAAGAAAUAAAAAAGUACAACCACAAAUUGCUUAUACACAAAUAUUCCCAGUCUUGUUAGUCCUAAAACUGCAAGCCGGACACCAUAUGAGGUGCUUUGAGUGCCGAAUUACAAACACAGUGUGGUAUAUCCAUUCAAUGGGAUACACAUAAAUGAACCUUAGAAGUACUCUGCUGACGCAUGGUAGAAACGGAUUACAUUUAUGAGAUGUUUUGGAAUAGGCAAAAAUGUAGCCACAGAAAUAAGAAAUUGCCUGAUUUCAGAGGAAUCUUUCUGGAAUAACAGAAAUAUUCCAUACCACACUUGGCAUGGCCAUUACAUGAUAGUGACUUGUCAAAACUUAUUGAACUGUGCACUUAAAAUGGGUAUAUUUUGCUGUAUUAAAUCAUACCUUGAUAAAAUUGAUUUCUAAAGUGAUAGGAAAUUAACUAUACUGAUAACCAAUUAUCUCCAAAAUAAGACUAUUUUUUCUAAUCUCCAUAUGUUAAUUUUUACUAAUAAUUGUCUAUGUUUUAAUAAGUGAUGGUAUGAUUUAGAUUCUUUGGAAGUUAUUGAGCAGGGGAAUAAUAUGGUCUGAUUUGUAUUUUUCUUUAUAGACUUUAUGUUUUUUUAAGCAGUUCUAGUUUCAUAGCAAAAUUUAGUGGAAAAUCACACCAGACCCUGUAAAGAUGUACAAUUACUGUAUAUAUAUUAAAAACAGGGACCAGGGGUGUAAUUUAGUGGUUAAGCAUGUGCUUAGCAGUCACAGGCCCGGGGUUUAAGCUUAGAAUCAAAAUUAAAUAAAAAUAAAUAUUUUUAAAAAGAAUAAAUUCAAGUGGAGAGUGUACUGUUCACAUGAGCCCC
This 1134-nucleotide long non-coding RNA is filed under the name Marmota monax (woodchuck). Lineage: Eukaryota; Metazoa; Chordata; Mammalia; Rodentia; Sciuridae. The record is from RNAcentral.